CGCUGGCGGCGUGCUUAACACAUGCAAGUCGAACGGUAAGGCCCUUCGGGGUACACGAGUGGCGAACGGGUGAGUAACACGUGGGUGAUCUGCCCUGCACUUCGGGAUAAGCCUGGGAAACUGGGUCUAAUACCGGAUAGGACUCCUGGCUUCAUGGUUGGGGGUGUAAAGCUUUUGCGGUGUGGGAUGGGCCCGCGGCCUAUCAGCUUGUUGGUGGGGUAAUGGCCUACCAAGGCGACGACGGGUAGCCGGCCUGAGAGGGUGACCGGCCACACUGGGGCUGAGAUACGGCCCAGACUCCUACGGGAGGCAGCAGUGGGGAAUAUUGCACAAUGGGCGCAAGCCUGACGCAGCGACGCCGCGUGAGGGAUGACGGCCUUCGGGUUGUAAACCUCUUUCAAUAGGGACGAAGCGCAAGUGACGGUACCUAUAGAAGAAGGACCGGCCAACUACGUG
This 456-nucleotide ribosomal RNA is filed under the name uncultured bacterium. RNAcentral describes it as "bacterial SSU rRNA". It matches the Rfam family "Bacterial small subunit ribosomal RNA", at positions 34 to 507 of the family's 1533-position model. The record is from RNAcentral.